GUGGAAGCUGAAUCUCUUACUGACAGUAGUCCUUUGCCUGAAGAAGACUACGAGGAUGACUCGCCGUUGACCAAGGACUUGGAGCAUCAAGAGAGUAACGGCAGCUGUAGCUAUCGACCUACAAAUAGCAUUCGUGAAAUCGAUCUAAUGCCUUCGGAUGCAAUUUACGAUCUCCGAUGCAUCGCCGAGCGAAUGAUUUUGGCCGGAUAUCUUCGGGAGUGUAUUCAGGUGUAUGGCAGUGUACGGAAGUCUGCAGUGGACUCGAGUUUCCGCAAACUUGGGAUAGAGAAGCUGAGCAUCGGAGAUAUCCAGAGAUUAGAAUGGGAAAUUCUAGAAACGAAGAUCCGGCGGUGGAUACGAGCUGCAAAA
This 369-nucleotide unclassified non-coding RNA is filed under the name Hevea brasiliensis (rubber tree). Lineage: Eukaryota; Viridiplantae; Streptophyta; Magnoliopsida; Malpighiales; Euphorbiaceae. The record is from RNAcentral.